GCCCACACUGGGAUUGAGAUACGGCCCAGACUCCUACGGGAGGCAGCAGUCGAGAAUAGUCUACAAUGGGGGAAACCCUGAUAGUGCGACGCCGCGUGGAUGAAGAAGCAUUUCGGUGUGUAAAAUCCUUUUCUGUAUGAGCAAGUCCCAUUAGGAAAAUAUCUUAUUGGGUUAGAUAUUAGUACAGGAAUAAGCCACGGCUAACUCCGUGCCAGCAGCCGCGGUAAUGCGGAGGUGGCGAGCGUUGUCCGGAAUUACUAGGCGUAAAGGGUAAGUAGGCGGAUUUAUAAGUCAGAUGUUAAAGGCAUGGGCUCAACCGAUGUAUUGCAUUUGAUACUGUAAAUCUAGAGUAAGGGAGAGGAAGGCAGAAUUCCUGGUGUAGCGGUGGAAUGCGCAGAUAUCAGGAAGAAUACCGAUGGCGCAGGCAGCCUUCUAGACCAUUACUGACGCUCAAUUACGAAGGUGUGGGUAUCGAACAGGAUUAGAUACCCUGGUAGUCCACACAGUAAACGAUAUGCACUAGGUGUUGGGGGAGAGAAUCUUUCAGUGCCGUAGUUAACGCGUUAAGUGCAUCGCCUGGGGAGUACGAUCGCAAGGUUUAAACUCAAAGGAAUUGACGGGGGCCCGCACAAGCGGUGGAGCAUGUGGUUUAAUUCGAUGCAACGCGAAGAACCUUACCUGGACUUGACAUCCCAAGGAUCAUUCAGAGAUGAAUGAGUGCCUUUCGGGGAACUUGGAGACAGGUGCUGCAUGGCUGUCGUCAGCUCGUGUCGUGAGAUGUUGGGUUAAGUCCCGCAACGAGCGCAACCCCUAUCCUUAGUUACCAUCAUUAAGUUGGGGACUCUAGAGAGACUGCCAGUGUAAUAAACUGGAGGAAGGUGGGGACGACGUCAAGUCAUCAUGGUCCUUAUGUCCAGGGCUACACACGUGCUACAAUGGUCGGGAUAAUGGGUCGCAAUACCGCGAGGUGGAGCCAAUCCCAAAAACCCGAUCUCAGUUCGGAUUGGAGUCUGCAACUCGACUCCAUGAAGUUGGAAUCGCUAGUAAUCGCGUAUCAGCAUGACGCGGUGAAUACGUUCCCGGGCCUUGUACACACCGCCCGUCAAGUCAGCCGAGUUGAUUGCACCCGAAGAAGGUGAGCUAACCGUAAGGAUGUAGCUUUCGAAAGUGUGGUUAGCGAGGGGGACUAAGUCGAAACAAGGUA
RNAcentral lists this ribosomal RNA (1204 nucleotides) under metagenome. Its description in RNAcentral is "bacterial SSU rRNA". It matches the Rfam family "Bacterial small subunit ribosomal RNA", at positions 306 to 1498 of the family's 1533-position model. The record is from RNAcentral.